Molecule: ribosomal RNA, 301 nt
Filed under: uncultured bacterium
Lineage: Bacteria
Description: partial 16S ribosomal RNA
Rfam family: Bacterial small subunit ribosomal RNA
Source: RNAcentral
CAGUCGCCGCGGUAAUACAGAGGGUGCAAGCGUUAAUCGGAUUUACUGGGCGUAAAGGGCGCGUAGGUGGUUAUGUAAGUGAGAUGUGAAAUCCCCGGGCUCAACCUGGAAACUGCAUCUUAUACUGCGUAGCUGGAGUGCAGUAGAGGGUAGUGGAAUUUCCGGUGUAGCGGUGAAAUGCGUAGAUAUCGGAAGGAACACCUGUGGCGAAAGCGGCUCACUGGACCAUUUCUGACGCUGAUGCACGAAAGCUAGGGAAGCAAACAGGAUUAGAUACCCGUGUAGUCCCUGUCUCUUAUAC